AGCAUGGCUUCAGAAGAGAAGGUAAAGCAUGCUUAGUACAAGAACUUUUUGGUCCUAGGCAAGUUAUGUCACACUUUAUUUGGGAGCAAAACAGGAGAAGUAAUAAAACUAAAAGGAAUGUUACUAUGAAGCAUGUCAUGAAAUUAAAAGCUGACAAGGACCAAAACUGACAUGACUGACAUGGUAAAUAGGUUUCAUUAAUUGGCAACAGAUGAUAAAAAGGUUUGGCUUUGAGUGGGUGCCAAGUAGAAGGAAAGGUAUAUUUGGCUGACUGUUAACUAUCUUGGAAAUGAGGCUUAGUUAAGUUGGGUUCUAGGUUUCUUCAUCUGUAGUUUAGUUUGAUCUCAAUCGAUCCCUCAUUAUUGCUCACAGGCGAAGUAAUAGGCUGAUGGUUUUGUUUGUACAACUGAUUUUGAGUAAAUUUAGAAGCAUUAUGUUUAGAUUGUCCUAUAGAUAACUAAGGCUGACUUUAGGUGGCUAAAACUUGUAGCUAUUUAUAGGAUUUCCUAUGAAAGUAAAGAACCAAAGGUUCUAGGUUUCACCCUUAGUGCCUGUUUGUUAUUUGUGUUGGUUUCACACUUGGUGCCUGUUUGUUAUUUGUGUUAUUGUUGUUUGAGGGCUAAAAAGUACUAUUUUAAAUGCCGUUGAAAAAGCUAUUUUAUAAUUUUAGUAUUCUAAUGACA
This 683-nucleotide unclassified non-coding RNA is filed under the name Hevea brasiliensis (rubber tree). The record is from RNAcentral. Lineage: Eukaryota; Viridiplantae; Streptophyta; Magnoliopsida; Malpighiales; Euphorbiaceae.